This 846-nucleotide ribosomal RNA is filed under the name Rheinheimera mesophila. Its description in RNAcentral is "bacterial LSU rRNA". It matches the Rfam family "Bacterial large subunit ribosomal RNA", at positions 492 to 1346 of the family's 2925-position model. The record is from RNAcentral. Lineage: Bacteria; Pseudomonadati; Pseudomonadota; Gammaproteobacteria; Chromatiales; Chromatiaceae.
GAACCAGUACCGUGAGGGAAAGGUGAAAAGCACCCCGGAAGGGGAGUGAAAUAGAACCUGAAACCGUGUGCUUACAAGUAGUCAGAGCCCGUUAAUGGGUGAUGGCGUGCCUUUUGUAGAAUGAACCGGCGAGUUACGAUUUGAUGCAAGGUUAAGCAGUAAAUGUGGAGCCGUAGCGAAAGCGAGUCUGAAUAGGGCGUUUAGUAUUUGGUCGUAGACCCGAAACCAGGUGAUCUACCCUUGGUCAGGUUGAAGUUCAGGUAACACUGAAUGGAGGACCGAACCGACUUACGUUGAAAAGUGAGCGGAUGAACUGAGGGUAGCGGAGAAAUUCCAAUCGAACCUGGAGAUAGCUGGUUCUCUCCGAAAUAGCUUUAGGGCUAGCCUCAAGUGAUGAUUAUUGGAGGUAGAGCACUGUUUGGACGAGGGGCCCCUCUCGGGUUACCGAAUUCAGACAAACUCCGAAUGCCAAUUAAUUUAACUUGGGAGUCAGAACAUGGGUGAUAAGGUCCGUGUUCGAAAGGGAAACAGCCCAGACCACCAGCUAAGGUCCCAAAAUAUAUGUUAAGUGGAAAAGGAUGUGGCGUUGCCCAGACAACUAGGAUGUUGGCUUAGAAGCAGCCAUCAUUUAAAGAGUGCGUAAUAGCUCACUAGUCGAGUGACACUGCGCCGAAAAUGUACCGGGGCUAAACAUAUUACCGAAGCUGUGGAUUGUCCUUUGGACAAUGGUAGGAGAGCGUUCUAAGGGCGUUGAAGCAUGAUCGUAAGGACAUGUGGAGCGCUUAGAAGUGAGAAUGCCGGUGUGAGUAGCGAAAGACGGGUGAGAAUCCCGUCCACCGAUUGACU